This 492-nucleotide ribosomal RNA is filed under the name uncultured bacterium. RNAcentral describes it as "partial 16S ribosomal RNA". It matches the Rfam family "Bacterial small subunit ribosomal RNA", at positions 29 to 507 of the family's 1533-position model. The record is from RNAcentral.
AUUGAACGCUGGCGGCAUGCUUUACACAUGCAAGUCGAACGGUAACAGGCCUUCGGGUGCUGACGAGUGGCGAACGGGUGAGUAAUGCAUCGGAACGUACCCAGAGGUGGGGGAUAACGCAGCGAAAGCUGUGCUAAUACCGCAUGUGAUCUGAGGAUGAAAGCGGGGGACCGAGCAGCAAUGUUUGGCCUCGCGCCUUUGGAGCGGCCGAUGUCGGAUUAGCUAGUUGGUGGGGUAAAGGCCUACCAAGGCGACGAUCCGUAGCUGGUCUGAGAGGACGAACAGCCACACUGGGACUGAGACACGGCACAGACUCCUACGGGAGGCAGCAGUGGGGAAUUUUGGACGAUGGGCGAAAGCCUGAUCCAGCAAUGCCGCGUGCGGGAAGAAGGCCUUCGGGUUGUAAACCGCUUUUGGCAGGAACGAAACGGUGUCCGCUAAUACCGGGCGCUAAUGACGGUACCUGCAGAAUAAGCACCGGCUAACUACGUG